RNAcentral lists this ribosomal RNA (586 nucleotides) under Trochidae gen. n. sp. w JZ-2019. RNAcentral describes it as "partial large subunit ribosomal RNA". It matches the Rfam family "Bacterial large subunit ribosomal RNA", at positions 1844 to 2626 of the family's 2925-position model. Lineage: Eukaryota; Metazoa; Mollusca; Gastropoda; Trochida; Trochidae. The record is from RNAcentral.
UAUGAGGAGUCGGACCUGCCCGGUGACUAAUAUGUUAAACGGCCGCGGUACCCUAACCGUGCAAAGGUAGCAUAAUCAUUUGCCUUUUAAUUGGAGGCUUGUAUGAAUGGUUUGACGAGAGCUAAGCUGUCUCUUUUGAAAUAUUUAGAAAUUAACUUUUAGGUGAAGAGGCCUAAAUGUGGUUGAGGGACAAGAAGACCCUGUUGAGCUUUAGUGGUGUGAUAAAAUUUAUAUAGAUUAAGGGCCUGUGGGCCCAUAAUAUACUUACUAAUGUAGAGUAGUAUUUUAUUAUUAAUCUUUAGUUGGGGCGACUGAGGAACAUUAAAAGCUUCCUUUAGGAAUUUAAAGUAUAGCUAGUUGGUAGUAAUUAUUAAUGUGGGCAUGCUAGAAUUAAGAUCCAGUAAAUACUGAUUAAAGGAAAAAGUUACCACAGGGAUAACAGCGUAAUCUUUCUGGAGAGAUCUUAUCGAAAGGAGGGUUUGCGACCUCGAUGUUGGACUAAGAUAUCCUGAGGGUGUAGAAGUUCUCAAUGGUUGGUCUGUUCGACCAUUAAAAUCUUACAUGAUCUGAGUCAAAACCGGAGAUG